Molecule: ribosomal RNA, 471 nt
Filed under: uncultured Allobrachymonas sp.
Lineage: Bacteria; Pseudomonadati; Pseudomonadota; Betaproteobacteria; Burkholderiales; Comamonadaceae
Description: bacterial SSU rRNA
Rfam family: Bacterial small subunit ribosomal RNA
Source: RNAcentral
GGAAUUGACGGGACCCGCACAAGCGGUGGAUGAUGUGGUUUAAUUCGAUGCAACGCGAAAACCUUACCCACCUUUGACAUGGCAGGAAUCCCGAAGAGAUUUGGGAGUGCUCGAAAGAGAACCUGCACACAGGUGCUGCAUGGCUGUCGUCAGCUCGUGUCGUGAGAUGUUGGGUUAAGUCCCGCAACGAGCGCAACCCUUGCCAUUAGUUGCUACGAAAGGGCACUCUAAUGGGACUGCCGGUGACAAACCGGAGGAAGGUGGGGAUGACGUCAAGUCCUCAUGGCCCUUAUAGGUGGGGCCUACACACGUCAUACAAUGGCCGGUACAGAGGGUAGCCAACCCGCGAGGGGGAGCCAAUCCCACAAAGCCGGUCGUAGUCCGGAUCGCAGUCUGCAACUCGACUGCGUGAAGUCGGAAUCGCUAGUAAUCGCGGAUCAGCAUGUCGCGGUGAAUACGUUCCCGGGUCUU